UUGCUCAGCGAAUUAACGAAAUGGUGGAAAUGUCAUUCUCUUCAAUAAAUAUUUAAUCAACCCUUACUAGGUACAAAACACUGCACUAGGUACAAAUAUUUGAUCUGCAGGCUCUUAAACACUGUCUUUUUAGCCAACAGUUUGUUUCUCAUUUAUUCAUUAGCUGACAUUUGCUAAGUGCCUUGGGGGAGUCAAAAGGGGAAGUAAAGAGGAAUCAAAGAUGGUCCCUACAUCAAGGUUAGACUGUGUCCUUUUUUUCUCACUCAAGGUCAAACCUUCCCCUGGAAGCAAACAAAACCCACAGUACCCUGGAUUCUGACUGUAUGUGAAUCAGUAAUAUGAGUACUGAUUAGAGGGUUGACUGAGUCCAUGUGGAGUUAUUAUUACGUAACAUAGUGCUCUGGAUACAAAAAAAAAGAUCCCCAAUAUUAAAUUGGUUGAUUACAGACAGAAUGACAAACCUAGGAGGGAAUCUGUAACUUCCGCUGGAAUGUAACUCAUCUCAGAGGAAUUAUGUAAGCUAAGAACUUGGAGUAACACAGUUUUGAGUCGUGGCUCUGCCACUUACAGAUUACAUGCCCUUGGUUUCUCCAUCUGUAAAUUGAUGGAAAACUACCAACCUAAUAGGAUUAAGUAAAUUUAGAAACACUCAAUUAGGUGUCAACGGAGGCUAUUCAUGUAAAUUGUGCUUACUACCUCUUCUUUCUAGGUUCAAUGAUUAUUCUCAUUACACUAGGGUAGGCCCUCAGUAGGAAUCAAUUGCAGGGAGAAAAAGCAUAGAAACUUUAAAACUGGAGGUGAAAGACAUGAGGUGAACUAGAGAUAGGGGGUACAGAGGAAAAUCAUGUAAGUAAAACUAAAAUUGCUACAUUAUUUACUGUAAAUUUCCUUUGUAAGAGUUGAGAGAUAUCUAAAUUACUUGUUGCUAAAUAACUUUAUUUUAAAAUGCAUUGCUGGCGCUGGGCUGGUGGCGUACUGGUUAAGUUCACAUACUCCACUUCAUCGGCCCAGGGUUCUCCAGUUUGGAUCCUGGGCGCAGACCCACACACCACUCAUCAAGCCAUGCUGUGGCGGCAUCCCACAUAGAACAACUAGAAGGACUUACAACUAUGCACUGGGGCUUUGAGGAGAAAAAUAAAUACAUAAAUAAAAUGCAUUGCUAUAACCUAUAAGGCCAGUGUACAAGAUUUUGAGGUAAAGUAGAAGAAACUUAGCUUCCCUGAAAAGUAAAAUAAAUUUAUUAAGAAAUGCAAGAAGGAAGUAUUGUGUGAACCAUAUUGUCAGUGAGCUUUACUGUCAAAACAGAAUUUUGAUAUAAAAAGAAAAAUACUUAUAAAUACUUGUUUUAAUCAGUAUUUGCCUUAUUAAAGUACAUUUAAGACAAUUUUUCUUAAAUCUCUAAGCUCAACUUGGAGAUCUUAUUAAAAUAUAAGUUUAGUAAAAUUUGUGUAAAGGUAAGAGAAAUUACACUUUCAUUUCUUUGAUUAACAAUUAACUCAUAAAUUUGAUCAAAUUCCCCUUAGCAUUUAACACCAUUUACAUGUUUGAUUAGUCAUAUUUUUCUUAAACAUUUGAUAAAGAGUUUUAAUGUAUUUGAUUUAUCCCCCAAAAUGGCAGACUUGUGUACUCGACAGAUUUUUGUGAGCUCCUUGACAACUUGUAGAUAGCCAUACUUAGACAUACUUAAGUACAAAAUAGUGUAAUGAUAGCAAAAGUUAGUCACUCGACUUUAAAAUAUUCAUAUUAUAGACUUUUAUUCACUUUUGGUGUCAUUUUGUUAUGUCUUCCUCUUUUUCAAGAUUAUAAUUUUACUCACUAAGCCAGUUACUUAGAUGAAAACUUGGCCCCUGACUUGUGCCACCCAACAAAGAAACAAAUGGGAAACUAGAAAUCGGUGUACCUGCCGAUAUUUGGUAGCAACUGUAAUGACUUGUCUGUUACUUUGUUAGGAUUCUUUUUUCUUUUAAUCAACUUAAUGGAGUUAUAGUUUACAUAGAAUAAAAUGUAGCCAUUUUAACUGUACAGUUCAGUGGGCUUUGACACAUGUGCAUACCGUGUAAUCACCAUCCCAACCAAGAUCUAGAACAUUUUGUUCACCAGAAAAAGUUUAUUUCCCUUAACAGUCUCUCCCCAGCCCUAGGUAACCACUCAUCUACUUUCGGUCACUGGAGAUGAAUUUUGCCUGUCCUAGAAUUUCAUAUGAUUUGAAUCAGAUAUAUGUACUCUUAUGUUUAGUUUCUUUAGUUUGCCAUGUUUUGAGAUUCAUUCAUGCUAUUGCAUAUAUCUAUAGUUUGUUUCUCUUUAUUGCUGAAUAGUAUUGCAUUGUAGUAUAUCACAAUUUGUUUAUUUGUGUAUCUGUUGAUAGAUAUUUGGAUUAUUUCUAGUGUGUGGUUAUUAUGAAUAAAGCCGCUACAAACAUCUGUGUACAAGUUUUUGUAUGGAUCUGUGUUUCCAUUUCUCUUUGGUAAAUACCUAUUAAUAGAUUUUCUAGGUCCUAGGGUAAGUAUAUGUUUAAUUUUAUAAGAAACUGUUUUCAAAAGUGGAAACAUUUCACUUUCCCAUUACCACUGAUGAGAAUUCCAUUUCCUCCACAUCCUCACUAACACUUAGUAUUGUCAGUCUUUGUUUUUUGCUAUUCUAGUAGGUGUGAAUUAGUGUCUCAUUGUGGCUUCAUUUGCAUUUUCCUAUGACUAAUAAUGUUAAGCACCUUUUCUUGUGCUUUAUGGCUAUUUUAUAUUUCUUUUGUGAAGUAUCUGUUAAGUCUUUUGGCCAUUUUAAAAAUCAGGCUCUUUUUCUUUGUGUUAUUGAUUUAUAAGAAUCCUUGAUAUGUUGGCACAAAUCUUUUGUCAGACAUGUAUUACAAAUGUUUACUCCAAUCUGUGGCUUGCCUGUUCAUUUCCUUAAUUAUGUUUUUCAUAAGGAAAAUUAUUUAAUUUUGAUUAAGA
This 2945-nucleotide long non-coding RNA is filed under the name Equus asinus (donkey). RNAcentral describes it as "lncRNA (ENSEASG00005035185.1)". Lineage: Eukaryota; Metazoa; Chordata; Mammalia; Perissodactyla; Equidae. The record is from RNAcentral.